Molecule: long non-coding RNA, 339 nt
Organism: Perognathus longimembris pacificus (Pacific pocket mouse)
Lineage: Eukaryota; Metazoa; Chordata; Mammalia; Rodentia; Heteromyidae
Exons: 3
Source: RefSeq, a predicted model, not a curated record
UGGUCUUCCGAUCUCAGUAAAUUAAAAAUAGAGUAAAAUUUUGGUUGGGGUGACCUCGGAGAAAAAAUAAUCCUCCGAAAGACCUAGACCUGGACUUACAAGUCAAAGUUAAACUACGUCACCUUUGAUCCGGAAUUUCUGAUCAAUGGACCAAGUUACCCUAGGGAUAACAGCGCAAUCUCAUGAAAUAGUCCAUAUUGAUAAUGAGGUUUACGCCCUCGAUGUUGGAUCAGGACAUCCAAAUGGUGCAGCAGCUAUUAGAGGUUCGUUUGUUCAACGAUUAAAGUCCUACGUGAUCUGAGUUCAGACCGGAGAAAUCCAUGUCGGUUUCUAUCUAUU